This 233-nucleotide long non-coding RNA is filed under the name Olea europaea (common olive). RNAcentral describes it as "long non-coding RNA (OEUR_LNC003042)". Lineage: Eukaryota; Viridiplantae; Streptophyta; Magnoliopsida; Lamiales; Oleaceae. The record is from RNAcentral.
AAAGAGUUUAAAACUAUUGAGAAGUUUAGGCAAGCUGUAAGGAGUCAUGGUGUAGCUACUAGAUGCAAUUUUAAAUUUCAUCCUAACGACAAGUUUAGAGCCCAAGCCAUCUGCAAAUUAGGUUGUACAUGGAGGAUUUGGGCUUCAUGGAAUAAGAAGAAAGGAUGCGUGCAAAUAAAAUCUAAAAACUCUGAGCAUACAUGCGUUAGGGACAAAACAAAUAGACAUUGCAC